This 431-nucleotide ribosomal RNA is filed under the name uncultured bacterium. Its description in RNAcentral is "partial 16S ribosomal RNA". It matches the Rfam family "Bacterial small subunit ribosomal RNA", at positions 390 to 828 of the family's 1533-position model. The record is from RNAcentral.
AGCAACGCCGCGUGCGGGAUGACGGCCCUCGGGUUGUAAACCGCUUUCAGCAGGGACGAUAUUGACGGUACCUGCAGAAGAAGCCCCGGCCAACUACGUGCCAGCAGCCGCGGUAANNACGUAGGGGGCAAGCGUUGUCCGGAUUUAUUGGGCGUAAAGAGCUCGUAGGCGGCUCGGUAAGUCGGGUGUNGAAAUCCCCAGGCUCAACCUGGGAUAUCCNCCCCUNUUCCGCGCUGUGGCUGAAUUCCGGUAGGGNGACCUUGGAUUCCCGGGUUUACCGGUNNAAUUCNCCCNANAUUUCNGGAGGACCACCGCUGCCAANGGCGGUCCUCGUGGCCCGGACCUGCCGCUGAGGACCAAAGCCUUGGUUNCCAACCGGGNUNGANUCCCCUGUUAUUCCNCCCGUANCCUUNGGCCNCUAGUUAAGGGGU